This 497-nucleotide ribosomal RNA is filed under the name uncultured bacterium. Its description in RNAcentral is "partial 16S ribosomal RNA". It matches the Rfam family "Bacterial small subunit ribosomal RNA", at positions 28 to 507 of the family's 1533-position model. The record is from RNAcentral.
GAUGAACGCUGGCGGCGUGCCUAAUACAUGCAAGUCGAGCGAACAGACGAGGAGCUUGCUCCUCUGACGUUAGCGGCGGACGGGUGAGUAACACGUGGAUAACCUACCUAUAAUACUGGGAUAACUUCGGGAAACCGGAGCUAAUACCGGAUAAUAUAUUGAACCGCAUGGUUCAAUAGUGAAAGACGGUUUUGCUGUCACUUAUAGAUGGAUCCGCGCCGCAUUAGCUAGUUGGUAAGGUAACGGCUUACCAAGGCGACGAUGCGUAGCCGACCUGAGAGGGUGAUCGGCCACACUGGAACGGAGACACGGUCCAGACUCCUACGGGAGGAAGCAGUAGGGAAUAUUCCGAAAUGGGCGAAAGCCUGACGGAGCAACGCCGCGUGAGAGAUGAAGGUCUUCGGAUCGUAAAACUCUGUUAUUAGGGAAGAACAAAUGUGUAAGUAACUAUGCACGUCUUGACGGUACCUAAUCAGAAAGCCACGGCUAACUACGUG